Molecule: unclassified non-coding RNA, 221 nt
Filed under: Hevea brasiliensis (rubber tree)
Lineage: Eukaryota; Viridiplantae; Streptophyta; Magnoliopsida; Malpighiales; Euphorbiaceae
Source: RNAcentral
AAAAAAAAGACUCCGCAGGUGACUCCAUCACCAUUACAAUAUGUCCACCGGCAGAAGCCUAGUUUUCUGACAAAAGCAAUUAUUGCCAAUUUCAAGUCCUCACAUAAUCAUUGGAAUGAGAGAAACCAGACGGAAGCUUAGUUGACGACGUCAACAACUAGCCUGCGAGACUUGAGAACUGACCACUUCAAUCGCCGGUAAUAUGCAGCCUGAAGUAAUGC